This 526-nucleotide ribosomal RNA is filed under the name uncultured Gammaproteobacteria bacterium. Its description in RNAcentral is "partial 16S ribosomal RNA". The record is from RNAcentral. Lineage: Bacteria; Pseudomonadati; Pseudomonadota; Gammaproteobacteria.
ACGCGUUGGGAGCUCUCCCAUAUGGUCGACCUGCAGGCGGCCGCGAAUUCACUAGUGAUUCUGCCCUUCCUCCCAACUUAAAGUGCUUUACAAUCCGAAGACCUUCUUCACACACGCGGCAUGGCUGGAUCAGGCUUUCGCCCAUUGUCCAAUAUUCCCCACUGCUGCCUCCCGUAGGAGUCUGGACCGUGUCUCAGUUCCAGUGUGACUGAUCAUCCUCUCAGACCAGUUACGGAUCGUCGCCUUGGUGAGCCAUUACCCCACCAACUAGCUAAUCCGACCUAGGCUCAUCUGAUAGCGCAAGGCCCGAAGGUCCCCUGCUUUCUCCCGUAGGACGUAUGCGGUAUUAGCGUCCGUUUCCGAACGUUAUCCCCCACUACCAGGCAGAUUCCUAGGCAUUACUCACCCGUCCGCCGCUCUCAAGAGAAGCAAGCUUCUCUCUACCGCUCGACUUGCAUGUGUUAGGCCUGCCGCCAGCGUUCAAUCUGAGCCAUGAUCAAACACUAAUCGAAUUCCCGCGGCCGCC